UGGAUGGCAUCACUGACUCAAUGGACGUGAGUUUGAGUGAACUCUUGGAGCUGAUGAUGGACAGGGAGGCCUGGCGUACUGUGAUUCCUGGGGUCGCAAUGAGUUGCAAACGACUGAGCGACUGAACUGAACUGAUCUAUUGUAAAACAUAUCGAGUCUCCCUGUAGAGAUGUUUAUUCUAUAGAUUUUCUCUACAGAAAUGUAAAAAAGUAUAUCAUUAUAAUUUAUUGAAAAGCAACACUUUAACCUUUCAACCGAAACGUGUUGGCAGAUACAUGGAGACAUAACACAUUGUCACCAAGUGAGAGGACAUGUUGUGAUAGAGACUUUUUUUUAAGUUUGUUUGAGGCCCAUGAAGUCUAAUAGAGUACAUGAAAGUGAUGUCUUCAUGAAAAUGUGGGAUUAUUUUAUAUCUAUUUGUCCAAAUGAUUAUUCACAAAUCAUUUCAUUCAAUCAGGACUGUCAUCAUACCUCGAAGUCUCGAGCUAAACUUUUGGUGAUACUAUUAGGUGAAAAAUAGAAAUAUUUUAAACUUUGGUCAGAUUCUUGAAUUACUUUUAUAUAGAAGGUAGAGGACAAAAUAAUUAAGAGUUAAGACAGUUCAGCUUUACAGCCUAUGAUUAGGGCCAAGUUCUACCGAAGUUCUGUCUAAAGAUUAGAUGGACCAUUGUGGGCUGAUUUACUUAAUAUGUAGUUCACUUCAUCAACUGCAAUAAAAGUUUAUAAUAAAUAGCACAUAAAUUGUUGUUCAGUUGUUCAGUUGCUAAGUCAUGUCUGACUCUUUGGAACCCUAUGGCCUGCAGCACACCAGAUUUCCUUUUCCUAACUAUCUCCCAGAGUUUGCUCAAAUGUCAUGUCCAUGAAGUCAGUGAUGCUAUCUAACCAUCUCUUACUCUGUCACCCUUCUCUCCAUUUGCCUUCAGUUGUUCCAAACAUUAAGGUCUUUUCCAAUGAAUAGGCUCUUUGCAUCAAGUGACCAAAGUAUUGGAGCUUCAACUUCAGCUUCAGUCUUUCCAAUGAAUAUUCAUUGGAAUCAAUGAAUAUUGAUUUCCUUUAGGAUUGACUGGUUUGAUCUCCUUGUUGUNNNNNNNNNNNNNNNNNNNNNNNNNNNNNNNNNNNNNNNNNNNNNNNNAAUUCUUUGGUGCUCAGCCUUCUUUAUAGUCCAACCCUCACAUCCAUACACAAUUACUGGAAAAAUCAUAGUUUUGACUAUAAGGUCCUUUCUCAGCAAAGUGAUGUCUCUGCUCUUUAAUACUCCAGGUGUCAAUAGUGGUAAAGAAUUUGCCUGCCAAUGCAGGAUACAUAAAAGAAGUGGGUUUUAUCCCUGAGUCAGGAAUAUCUCCUGGAUUAGGGCAUGCAAUCCACUCCAAUAUCCUUUUUUUU
RNAcentral lists this long non-coding RNA (1383 nucleotides) under Capra hircus (goat). Its description in RNAcentral is "lncRNA (ENSCHIG00010006190.1)". The record is from RNAcentral. Lineage: Eukaryota; Metazoa; Chordata; Mammalia; Artiodactyla; Bovidae.